GUUCCUGUAGUUAAAUUUUUGUUAACGAGAGCUUUUCAGGCUUUAGAUCCCGGAGAGAGGCCGGGCGGGAAUU
Molecule: transfer RNA, 73 nt
Filed under: Trochalopteron formosum
Lineage: Eukaryota; Metazoa; Chordata; Aves; Passeriformes; Leiothrichidae
Description: tRNA-Glu
Source: RNAcentral